RNAcentral lists this long non-coding RNA (7154 nucleotides) under Daucus carota (carrot). Its description in RNAcentral is "long non-coding RNA (DCAR_LNC004401)". The record is from RNAcentral. Lineage: Eukaryota; Viridiplantae; Streptophyta; Magnoliopsida; Apiales; Apiaceae.
AUGGGCGAAGUUGUUGACAGUGAACUGCAAAAAUGAAUACAGUAUGAAGUUUAUGUUUCAGUUCAAUUGGAUAAGACGGGAUUACUGUUUAUUCAUGCUUCUGGUUAGCCAAUUAUUUACACAAUUUCAGUAUAAAUUCUAGAUAUUUGUCAUCGUCUUGUAAGUUAAGUAUUGAUAGAUAGAACUGUAUUUACCUAAGUUACCCGGACACGGGUAUGAGUAUUGGACACGGGUACAGGUCCAAGAGUCAGAUUCGUAGUUUUAGAAUAAUUAGGAUUCGUGGACGUGGAUCCGGAAUUAGACUCGGGUACGGGGACUUGGCACUUAAGCUCCACGCAAGUCAAACUUUAUUUAGCCUGAUUUAUGGUACAUUCAUAAAAAUAGUGUCUACUGCACAUAAAUCACAUACGCUGAAAUUGAAGCAUAAAAUCAAUAGAACAACAUAGAAACAAGUCAUUCACGGAUCUUGAUCUCUAUAAACAAGUUGAAACAAGACCUAAGUUUUCAUUUUGACCUGGGAUGUUACAAGGUGAGGUGUUCGGGUGUAAUAAGAAGGAUCCGACAGAGAUCCCAUACUCACACUCAUGUCAUGUCCGGUGGACGCGGGUAUAGGCACAAAAAUGGAGAGUCCAGGUAACAUAGGUAUUUACAAAUUAUGUUUGUCCCAAAUUGCAGGAAAAUUUAUCUGCUAUAUAUGGCACAACUUUUUGUUUUAUUAUCAGUAACUUUACUUCUUGGUGAAAGCCUAAAGUAUGAUAGAGCACAAGAUGCAUUGGCAAACCUUGAAUUCCUUACUUUUCAUUCCGCUCUUCCUGUAGUCAUUCGUAGUUGAGUUUUAAUUGGAUAAAUUGUUUGUUAUUGUAGUGGUGGUGCAGAAUUUUUGGUAUUGCAGUGGAACUUUUGGCACAAAAUAUGGUCGUCGAAAGCAAAACAGUUUCUCCUUGUUGGAAACAGAAUUCAAUUAAUUCACCACAUUUUAAGAAGCAACAGACACGAUUGGAUGAGUUAGGCAGCUUCUCAACAAUUGUUCACCGACACCGCUUCCUUCUAACAGCCUGUGCCCUUUUGGCUUUCCUCUGCACCAUAUAUCUCUACCUUGCUGUCACCUUUGUAGCCAACGACUCAUGCUCAGCCUUGUCAGGUACUCAAAAGUCGAUGUGUCAUAUACAACAAGCUAAAGAUCUUGUUUACAAAGGAAAACUGAGAAAUUUCUUGUAGCCGAUGUCUCUACUGCUCGAUAUUUGUUGUAAGCUGUUUUCCUUACCUGAGACCAACUUGAAAUAUAGAUCUUGGUCAUGUGUAGGUGAGAAGUAGCUUUGAAUUGUUACAGUAUACAUAUAACUGCCUCAGAGCGACAACAAUUCCAACUAAAGUGUAGAGUAUUUGUUUCAGAGCAUUAUUGAAAUGAUAAAACAUGUAGCUGACUGCAAUCUGGUUUACAGAAGUGGCUUGGACUUUGUCCAUUAGGGUUCACCAUCCAUUCAUCUGUGUUGUUGAUCUGUUUCACCUGAUUAAUCCUCACAAUCAUCUGAUCCCCUAAAAUAAGGGAAUCAUUUGGGUGUUUAGAGACAAAUCUCUUUUCACUGCCUUUUUGAUUUUGCUUUAAAAAAAUGUGUUGUUCUUUGAAAUUUCUUUCACCGGAAACACUACAGUUUGAUCUCGCUGAAUCGGACUUGUACAUUUCGAUUUUCUGUCUUAAAAGCGCCUUCGAUUAUGCCUUUAUUUCUCAUUCUCUACCUUUAUUCUUGAGCCUAGAAUGUACUGAUUGAUUUCAUCUAAUAUAGAUCUCACAAAUCAUUAGUAUUUUUUAAAAGCAACAAUGGUUAUCAAGCAUCGUAACCAGAUUUUUUUUGUAUACCUGAAAAUUCUGAACGAAGAAUUCGUACUUUAUUACUGUAGUAACAAUAACUAGCUUAUAACUCGUUCAAUGCACGGGCGGUUAAUAUAUUUGUUAUUUUAUCGUAUAUAUUUUAAAUUUACCUAAUUUUAUUGUAAAAAUAAAAUUAUGAUAGAAUAAUAUGGUUAAAUACAUAUUUUAUUUAACAGUGGGAUAAAUUUUUAAUAGUUAAAUCUUUUUUUUUUUUGAAAGGCCAAAAGAUUCCAUUGAUAAUAAAAGCUACAGACUUGCCAAAAGAUCAUCAUGACAUAAAACCCACACAUUACUAGAAAACCUAUUUCAACUCAUAACCUAAAAAGACCCUGAAAAGUACUACUACGACACCUAAUCAUUACUCCUACAGAUAACUAUUUGGAACCGAAACUACACGAGAUACAAAGCAUCCCCAUGCAGUUAAUCCAAUAUUUCAAUCACCUCCACCAUUUCAUCCUCCUCGACCAUGUGUGCUCCAUCUUCAACUUCUGGGAUUGCAGGCUCAUCACCAUCCACGACAGCUGGGUUAAGAUCUUCUUCAUGCACCGCCAGAUAACGGGGGUCAGCCGAGCCCAGCCCCAUAUCAGCAUUCCAGAGGUCAAAAACUCUACCAAAAGGUUGUGCUAUGAUCACCAUGUUCUUGAAAUUUUCCGCGCCAUAAUGUGCGAGGUAAGUAGCCAAGGCAUUGGCAUUAGGAUCACAUAGCUUCACCUCCAUUCUGAAGUUCCUAUCUGCAGCACGUUGAUUGAGCUGUUGCACCAUUUCUGCAUGAUCUGGAUGAGCUCCUUCAAUGGAGGAGUUCCUCCAUUCCCAAAAGGAAUCCAAGUGAUCCGAUUCCAGAACAAAGUGCUUCCAAUCCUCCACGUACGCUCUCUUGCAACCCUCCAUCAGUGCUUGGUACUCGUUAAUUCUGGCACUGCGGAUACCCAAAGAUCCCGAUAACAUCCUAAGAAUUUUCCCACGACUGUUCCUAAUGACCACCCCAAUUCCAGUUACAUUUCCAUUCGGAAGUGCAUUAACAAAGAAACAGCCGUGGACGUUAAUUUUAACCAUGUCCUUUCUUGGCAUUAACCACCUAGGAUUGACAUUGACAUUCUAGGUGCGAUCAUACCAGCACUAAUAGUUAAAUCUGUUAAAUGACUAAUUAAAAAUUAGGUCGAACACACACACACACAUAUAUAAAUAAAUGAGAAUGUUAAAAUUUACCUUUUAACAUGUUAUAGUUUAAGUAGGCUAUUAACUCAAAUAUAAACUAACCAAUCAACCUUUUAAUAUUUCGUUAUUAAUAAUUAAUAAUAUGAUGUAAAGCAUAUUACUCCCUCUGUCCCUUUUAAUUGUAUACAUUUCUUUUUAAUUGCUCGACACGCAUUUCAAUACUCUUAUAAAAUAUAGUUCCGUAACUUAUUUUUCAGAUUUUCUUUUUCUGUAUAAAAAUAUAACAUCCAAACUUUAAUUGAGAAAUAAAAAAUUAAAAAUAGACUGCACAACUACACUUUGCAGAAGCAUUAAAGUCCGUGCCGCGUCCCCGUCCCCCAAUGUAUACUACUCAGCGGGACGGAGGAAGUAUAAUUUAAAGAGACGCAUGAAACCAAAUACCGAACCAUCAUACUAAACUAAAUUUAAUAUUUUAGUUUAAUAGAUAAUUGAAAGUAAACUAUAACAUGUUAUAAAUUAAAGAGCUCCGUGGGUCGAAUACCAACCGAUUCACCAAACUCAAAUAACUGACCAACCGACUGAACAAUUUAUUUUCGGUUUUCAUAGUGUAAUAAUAUAUAGUAUAGGCUAGAUUUGUAAUAUUUCUUUUAAUGUGAGAUCAUUAGAGUAUUUAAGAAUAAUGUUUUUUUAUGUAUUUUGGUUAAAUAAUAGGGAUCUUUUUAAAAAUACCCAUCUAUAAAAUUAUUUUUUUAAAAAUACUACCAUCAUUUUCAUUGUUUUUAAAAAUACCUUUUCAUAAAAAAAAUUUCAAAAAUACGAUUUGCAACUUUUGCAACCUUGGGCGGCGCAGCCGCAAAAGUUGCAAAUGAGGUUACAAAUGAGUUUGCAAAAGUUGCAAAUGCAAUUGCAACUAGUUCAACUGAAAACUGUAAGUUGCAAAUGAGAUUGCAAAUGAAGUUGCAACUGUAGCAAAUGAGGUUGCAAAAGUUGCAAAUAAAAAUGAAAAGUUGCAACCGUUGCAACUGUUGCAACUGCAAUUGCAACUAGUUCAACUGAAAACUGUAAGUUGCAAAUGAGGUUGCAGAAGUUGCAAAUGAGGUUGCAAAUGAAGUUGCAACUGCAGUUGCAACUUUUGCAUCUGCAGUUGCAACUUCAUUUGCAACCUCAGUUGCAACUAAAUGCAACUGAAAACUGUAAGUAACAACAGAUGUAUGGUGUGCCCCUGGCGGGGCCAUUAGAUUGCAAUAGAAUCAACUGAAUGCAACCAUAUGCAACUGAAUACAACCAUAUGCAACCAUAUAUGCAAUUACAAAUCCUGAUUUCAAGUUUCAGUUUUCAAAUGUCAUUUUCGACCUCAUUUUCGGAAAUGAGGUCGAAAAUGACAUUUGAAAACUGGAACUUGAAAUCAGGAAUUCGGUUGCAUAUGAAGUUGCAAAAGAGGUUGCAACACGGCUGGCGCCGCCUGGAGUUGCAAAUGAGGUUGCAAAAGUUGCAAACCGUAUUUUUGAAAAAAAAAUUUAUGAAAAGGUAUUUUUAAAAAUAAUUCUGGAAGGUAGUAUUUUUGAAAACAAUAAAAGAAAAGGUAGGUAGUUUUGUAGAUUUCCCUAAAUAAUAUCACAUGUUAUAUAUUAAUAAUUAUAUAUAAUGAUAUUAUAUUUUAUGUAUAUGUCGCCCGUGUUAAUUGUAAAAACUGGGGGUUUUAGUUAAAAAAUCUAAAAAAGAUAAUGCGUUUGAUUAAAAAGACGAUUACUAUAUUGCUUGAUGUUAUUUUAGAAGAUGGAGUUUUUUAGCUAAAAAAUAUAUAAAAGAUAAUUUAUUUUAGUUAAAAAGAAUAAUUGGUCAUAUAGAUAGGCCCGUAUUUCGGCCCAAGUACCGACCGCCAGACCAAUAUAAUAAUACUCCCUCUCUUUUUUAUUAUUUGACGUUUUGAAUAUUGGUACACAUCUUUAGGUAUAAAUAUGUCGCCUGUGUCUGUAUUAAUUGUAAAAAAUUGAUUUUUUAGUUAGAAAAUUAUUAAAAAGAUAAUAUAUCUUAGUUAAAAAAGUAAGUAUCAUGUUUCUCAAUGUUAUUUUAGAAGAUUGAGUUUUUUAGUCAGAAAUAUAAUAAGGUAAUAUAUUUCAAUUAAAAAGAAUAAUUGAUUAUAUAGAUAGGCCUGUACUUUGGCCCAAAUUAAAAAGAAUAAUGGGAUAUAUAGAUAGAUCCAGAAUAAUUGAUUAUAUAGAUAGGCUCAUAUUUAGUCCCAAGUACCGACCGACCAAAUUUUUAAUGUUUCGGCUUUAAUAGUAUAGUAUGGAUAUGUCAAUUAUACUUAAUGUUCUUGGAUCAUCUCAGAAUUCUAAUUUUUUAAAUUCACAUUUUCUAAUUAUAAAUCAAAUUCGAGGCUUUGAAAUUGAAAUCGACACAAGAAGGUUGUGAUAGCGAGUUUUUAUUUUUAAAAUCAAGAAUAUACAAUUUGGUAUAAAACAAGACGUAAGGUGUGUAUAAAUAAAUUUAAGGUGCGCCUAUAUCAGCACAUUUAAAAGAAAACCUUAAUCUAAAAUAACAGAUUUUAUAAUUCAAAAAAUAUUAAUUUUUUUACUAAACACUGUCUCAUCCAUAUUUAUAUUUUUCAUUCAUUCAGAUAUUCUAGAUUCUAGAUUUAAAAAUCACCGCUAAGUAUCUUUCAUCCAAUGUUAUUCUCCCUCUUCAGAUCUGUUUAUCGUGUUAUGAUCUCACUUGUUUUCAUUUAGCCCACGCUUUCUCCCUGCUGUAAGUCUCUUGCAUCGUCCAUUAUCCUCCCUUUUCAGAUCUGUUUAUCAUGUUAUGAUCUCACUUGUUUUCAUUUAUUUUGUGGAUUUUAACUGAUAAUUAUAUCUUUAAUUGCUGUUUCAUGUACUGUACUUGUUAUCGCAGUUGUUUAUUUAAUGUUGCGCUGAGAAUUAUAAUAAUUAACGGUAUUAGCAGUACUGGCAGUAAUUUUUGGAAAGAUUAGGAUGUUAGUGAUGACGGAAGUAAGACCUAGAUAGCUGGGAAAUGAGUGAUGACUGCUUAUCGGUUAUUAAUUUCUGUCAGUAUUCGAUUUCAAUUUUUGACAAUUUUACAUGUAUUAUUAAGUUCAUGAGACUGCAUAGAAUGAUAGAAUUGAUAUAACUUCAAUUCUGUAAUUUAAGUUUUUCGUUGCCUUGGCCAAUGUACUGAGACUGUAACAAUAAACUAGUCGGUCCGCCACUCUUGAGCAUUCUUUGUUUCUUAAACGCGUUGUUGCUCGUGGAUCUCACCUAUGCCUGAUACUUUUCUUAUUUGCUUUCAUAAAAAUGGUUAUAGAUAUUUCCACAUUUGAUUUUACGGUUCUGUUUAUGUGCGUUGUUUGCCAGUUAACUGAAAAAAAUGAAUAUUAAGUUUUUGUUUGACUUCAGUUUGCUAAGACUGGAUUACUUCUUAUUCAUGCUUGUGGUUAGCCAAUAAUCUACACGAUUUCAAUAUAAAUUGUGAAUAUUUGUCAUCGUCUUGUAACUUAAGUAUCUUGAUUUAUAGAACCAUAUUUAUAAAUUGUGUUUGUCCCAAAUUGCGGGAAAAAUUAUCUGCUAUAUAUGGCAGAACUUUUUUUAUUAUCAGUAACUGUACUUCUUGGUGAAAGCCUAAAGUAUGAUAGAGCACAAGAUGAAUUGGAGAACCUUGAAUUCCUUACUUUUCAUUCCCCUCUUUCUGUAGUCAUUCGUGGUUGAGCCUAAUUAGAUGAAUGGUUUGUUCUUGUGUUGGUGGUACAGACUGCAGAGUUUUUGGUAUUGCCGUGGAACUUUUGGCACAAGAUAUGGUUGUCGAAAGCAAAACAAUUUCUCCUCGUUGGAGACAGAAUUCAAUUAAUUCACCACAAAAUAAGAAGCAACAGACACGAUUGGGUGAGCUAGGCAGCUUCUCAACAAUUGUUCAUCGACACCGCUUCCUUCUAACAGCCUGUGCCCUCUUGGCUUUCCUCUGCACCAUAUAUCUCUACCUUGCUGUCACCUUUGUAGCCAACGACUCAUGCUCAGCCUUGUCAGGUACUCAAAAGUCGAUGUGUCAUAUACAACAAGCUAAAGAUUUUGUUUCCAAAGGAAAACUAAGAAAUUUAUUGUAGCCAAUGUCUUUACUGCAUUGAUAAUUUGUUGUA